RNAcentral lists this ribosomal RNA (253 nucleotides) under uncultured bacterium. RNAcentral describes it as "partial 16S ribosomal RNA". It matches the Rfam family "Bacterial small subunit ribosomal RNA", at positions 524 to 776 of the family's 1533-position model. The record is from RNAcentral.
UACGUAGGGGGCAAGCGUUGUCCGGAAUCAUUGGGCGUAAAGCGCGCGUAGGCGGCCCGGUAAGUCCGCUGUAAAAGUCCAGGGCUCAACCUCGAGACGUCGGCGGAAACCAUCUGGCUAGAGUCCGGAAGAGGAGAGUGGAAUUCCUGGUGUAGCGGUGAAAUGCGCAGAUAUCAGGAAGAACACCCGUGGCGAAGGCGGCUCUCUGGGACGGUACUGACGCUGAGACGCGAAAGCGUGGGGAGCGAACAGG